Molecule: unclassified non-coding RNA, 253 nt
Filed under: Glomus sp.
Lineage: Eukaryota; Fungi; Glomeromycota; Glomeromycetes; Glomerales; Glomeraceae
Description: partial contains 5.8S ribosomal RNA and internal transcribed spacer 2
Rfam family: 5.8S ribosomal RNA (bases 1-65)
Source: RNAcentral
GUGAAUCAUCGAAUUUUUGAACGCAAAUUGCACUCGCUUCGGAGAGUAUGGCUGUUUGAGGGUCAGCCUAAAAAAAAUCGACAUAGUUGCUGUUGCGCGGUGACAUUCGUCGGAAAUUGGGUCAUAUUAAACCUUUGGGUUUAAGCGGCUUAAAAUUUUCUUUACGUUUUAAAGAACGGUUCUAAGAUUUUAUUUUCUUAUACGUUUAAGGUACCGAUCUUUAUUGGUCGUGGCCGUUGAGUUGGAUAUUGGC